This is a long non-coding RNA of Strigops habroptila (Kakapo), 1607 nucleotides long. The record is from Ensembl. NCBI's taxonomy places the organism in Eukaryota, Metazoa, Chordata, Aves, Psittaciformes, Psittacidae.
UCCCAUAGAGGCAUCACACCCGGCUUUCACACAGCCCCAUUUGGGAGCACCUUGUUCAAGAGAGUUUCUUUUUUUCCUCCUUGAUGAAUUUGUUCUCUUUCCUCCUUUUCCUUUGCUUUCAAGAGAAGGAAUCUGUACAGUGCAGGGGAAAUGUUGUAUGAGAAGAGAUUCAUCAGCUGUCGGCAGUGAUCAGGAUUCCAGGAAAACACAUAUAUGAAUCCAGGCGUAAAUCUGACUCAGAAGUUAUUAAUCUUUGCUGGAUGAAAAGGAGGAAUGCACCGUCCUGUGGAUACAGUGUCUGCUUAGACUGAAGAUCUGAGUAACUGGGUUUCUUCUGCCUUCAUUCUUCCCUCUACCACAAAGGAAGACCUCUUUGUUGAGGCCACGCUAGUUGUUGCAGAAAGAGAACUUGAAGUACAAGAACUUUACCAAAAGCUCAUCCCACUCAAGCUGAAGGCAAUGCCCUCAAUGGUUUGGUGUCAUGUGCGUUCAACCAGAAGUGUGCUCUGGACCUCUUGGCUGUAAAUGGUACAGGAUCACACCACGUUAUAAUCUCAAGCUCUAAUCAGCAGAAACCUUAGAAGCAAAGAAUGUCCGUGUUGUAUGUGCCUCCAAACACACAGAAAAGGAACCACAGGCAUCUCUAUAGCUUGUGAUUUGAAAGGUUAAAGGAGGUCACUUGAAAACCCAACUUACAAGCCAAAUGGUUCCAAUUAAGUGAGGCAGUUCCAGGACAUAAUCAAUAGCAAUGCCACAUUGACUUGACUACUCCUUACCUUGACCUUUAAAGUCCUUUAAAGUAAUUAGCAGUCAGUGUUUGGACUUUUAAAGACAUCAGUAGGACUACAAAAAGGACUGUGUGACCUAAACACGCUUGUUUUGGCUUUAAUGAAAGUAGGGGUAUAAAAAACAACAAAAAGAAUACUCAAUAUAAAGGCUUCUUGGUGGAAUUGUAGCAUCGGGAGGGUUGUGUCUGGUUUUCUCAGCCGGGAUCUGUAAAUGAAGAAAGAAGUGUGCUUUAGAACACCUUCAUCGACAAGAAAAACACCAACUGAACAAGAUGAGAUGUCAUGGCUUUCUCUGGAGCUUGGAAGUAGAGAACAAUCACUGAGUAAUUAUUUUGAUUGCCAGUUAUCUGCAUUAUUAUCCUGCUGUUCUGUUCUCAAUCCCUUCUGAACUCAGUUUUGCUGCCCAUCGGAGGAUACAACAGCUUCCCCAGCAUCCAAAAGAGAGUUAUUUAUUGACAUAGCCUUCAGAUUUAUAUGGUUUAAAUUACAGUAUGUUAAGGUGGAAAGUAUGGUCACCUCAUUGUACAUAAACAUCUUCUAAACAGUGUGGAAAUCACUGAAGUGCCCAGUGCCUCAGCAUCUUUGUUCUUAAAAUGGGAAUUUUGUAAUUGUUACUGUAAUGUUGUUAAGAUUUAACAUGUGCAAAACCUUUGCAAGUCACUGAUUGUGAAUCAUGCAAAACUGCCACGUCCUGCUUUCUUAGAUUACCAAGGUAAUUUAUUAUGAUAUUUAUUUGAUGGGCUUGUCAGAUCUCUAACAUUUGAAUUGUUAUUUAACCCUUAAAUAUUACCUGAGGAGUAAAUUUAGUCUGUUCAAAAA